UCAAUGGGAAGACGUGAUGCGGAGUGAAGUUUAGUAAUGAAGUCCGUGAGCUGUGCGUCAAGAAAAGCCGCUAUUGUUCAUACCAUACCCGUACCGUAAACCGACACAGGUGGAUGAGGAGAGAAUCCUAAGGCCGGCGGAAGAAGCAUUGUCAAGGAACUCGGCAAAAUGACCCCGUAACUUCGGGAGAAGGGGUGCCUGCGAGAGCAGGCCGCAGAGAAUAGGCUCAAGCAACUGUUUAGCAAAAACACAGGUCUAUGCGAAACCGAAAGGUGAGGUAUAUGGGCUGACGCCUGCCCGGUGCUGGAAGGUUAAGAGGAGAGGUUAGCGGUAACGCGAAGCUUUGAAUUUAAGCCCCAGUAAACGGCGGCCGUAACUAUAACGGUCCUAAGGUAGCGAAAUUCCUUGUCGGGUAAGUUCCGACCCGCACGAAAGGCGUAAUGAUUUGAGCGCUGUCUCGACAAUGCAUCCGGUGAAAUUGAAGUACCAGUGAAGAUGCUGGUUACCUGCGCCAGGACGGAAAGACCCCAUGGAGCUUUACUCCAGUUUGGUACUGGGAUCCGGUACUGCAUGUACAGGAUAGGUGGGAGGCUGAGAAUCGGUAACGCCAGUUGCCGAGGAGCCGCUGUUGGGAUACCACCCUUGCAGUAUUGGGUUUCUAACCAGCCGCCGUGACCCGGCGGUGGGACAAUGCCAGACGGGGAGUUUGACUGGGGCGGUCGCCUCCGAAAGGGUAUCGGAGGCGCCCAAAGGUUCCCUCAGGAUGGACGGAAACCAUCCAAAGAGUGCAAAGGCAGAAGGGAGCUUGACUGCGACACCGACGGGUGGAGCAGGUACGAAAGUAGGGCUUAGUGAUCCGGUGGUAUUAAGUGGGAAUGCCAUCGUUCAACGGAUAAAAGCUACCCUGGGAUAACAGGCUUAUCACUCCCAAGAGUUCACAUCGACGGAGUGGUUUGGCACCUCGAUGUCGGCUCAUCGCAUCCUGGGGCUGUAGUAGGUCCCAAGGGUUGGGCUGUUCGCCCAUUAAAGCGGUACGCGAGCUGGGUUCAGAACGUCGUGAGACAGUUCGGUCCCUAUCCGGCGUGGGCGUAGGAUAUCUGAGAGGAGCUGUCCUUAGUACGAGAGGACCGGGAUGGACGGGCCGCUGGUGCACCGGUUAGACUGCCAAGUCUAUAGCCGGGUAGCCAAGCCCGGAAGGGAUAAACGCUGAAGGCAUCUAAGCGUGAAGCCCCCCUCAAGAUGAGAUAUCCCAUCCGAAAGGAGUAAACCCCCUUGAAGACGACGAGGUUGAUAGGGCAGAGGUGGAAGUGUGGUAACACAUGGAGCUGACUGCUACUAAUAGGGUGAGGGCUUGACC
RNAcentral lists this ribosomal RNA (1357 nucleotides) under metagenome. Its description in RNAcentral is "bacterial LSU rRNA". It matches the Rfam family "Bacterial large subunit ribosomal RNA", at positions 1550 to 2925 of the family's 2925-position model. The record is from RNAcentral.